GUGCUUGCUUCGGCAGCAUAUAUAAUAAAAUUGGAAUGAUACAGAGAUUAGCAUGGCCCCUGUGCAAGGAUGAGAUACAAAUUCAUAAAGCAUUCCAUAGUUUU
RNAcentral lists this small nuclear RNA (104 nucleotides) under Nannospalax galili (Upper Galilee mountains blind mole rat). The record is from RNAcentral. Lineage: Eukaryota; Metazoa; Chordata; Mammalia; Rodentia; Spalacidae.